Triticum aestivum (bread wheat) is the source of this 86-nucleotide non-coding RNA. Lineage: Eukaryota; Viridiplantae; Streptophyta; Magnoliopsida; Poales; Poaceae. The record is from Rfam.
GUGAGCCGUGUAAUAGGUGACCAUUUCGCGCGGUUCGGGGGGCACUUGAAUAAGCCGCCGGCACCCGGCUGCGUCUUUACCCCUAU